AUUGAACGCUGGCGGCAGGCCUAACACAUGCAAGUCGAGCGGAUGAAGGGAGCUUGCUCCUGGAUUCAGCGGCGGACGGGUGAGUAAUGCCUAGGUAUCUGCCUGGUAGUGGGGGAUAACGUCCGGAAACGGGCGCUAAUACCGCAUACGUCCUGAGGGCGAACGUGGGGGAUCUUCGGACCUCACGCUCUCAGAUGAGCCUAGGUCGGAUUAGCUAGUUGGUGGGGUAAAGGCCUACCAAGGCGACGAUCCGUAACUGGUCUGAGAGGAUGAUCUGUCACACUGGAACUGAGACACGGUCCAGACUCCUACGGGAGGCAGCAGUAGGGAAUAUUGGACAAUGGGCGAAAGCCUGAUCCAGCCAUGCCGCGUGAGUGAAGAAGGUCUUCGGAUUGUAAAGCACUUUAAGUUGGGAGGAAGGACAGUAAGUUAAUACCUUGCUGUUUUGACGUUACCAACAGAAUAAGCACCGGCUAACUUCGUG
RNAcentral lists this ribosomal RNA (484 nucleotides) under uncultured bacterium. RNAcentral's name for it is "partial 16S ribosomal RNA". It matches the Rfam family "Bacterial small subunit ribosomal RNA", at positions 30 to 507 of the family's 1533-position model. The record is from RNAcentral.